GAUGAACGCUGGCGGCGUGCCUAAUACAUGCAAGUCGAGCGAACGGACGAGAAGCUUGCUUUUCUGAUGUUAGCGGCGGACGGGUGAGUAACACGUGGAUAACCUACCUAUAAGACUGGGAUAACUUCGGGAAACCGGAGCUAAUACCGGAUAAUAUUUUGAACCGCAUGGUUCAAAAGUGAAAGACGGUCUUGCUGUCACUUAUAGAUGGAUCCGCGCUGCAUUAGCUAGUUGGUAAGGUAACGGCUUACCAAGGCAACGAUGCAUAGCCGACCUGAGAGGGUGAUCGGCAACACUGGAACUGAGACACGGCCCAGACCCCGAGGGAGGCAGCAGUAGGGAAUCUUCCGCAAUGGGCGAAAGCCUGACGGAGCAACGCCGCGUGAGUGAUGAAGGUCUUCGGAUCGUAAAACUCUGUUAUUAGGGAAGAACAUAUGUGUAAGUAACUGUGCACAUCUUGACGGUACCUAAUCAGAAAGCCACGGCUAACUACGUG
RNAcentral lists this ribosomal RNA (496 nucleotides) under uncultured bacterium. RNAcentral describes it as "partial 16S ribosomal RNA". It matches the Rfam family "Bacterial small subunit ribosomal RNA", at positions 28 to 507 of the family's 1533-position model. The record is from RNAcentral.